AGAGUUUGAUCAUGGCUCAGGAUGAACGCUGGCGGCGUGCCUAACACAUGCAAGUCGAACGGAGCUUAUUCUGCGGAGGUUCGAUCAAAGCGGGUUAAGUUAGUGGCGGACGGGUGAGUAACGCGUGGAGAACCUGCCCUGUACCGGGGGAUAACAGCCGGAAACGGCUGCUAAUACCGCAUAAGCGCACGAAGGCGCAUGCCUUAGUGUGAAAAAACUCCGGUGGUACAGGAUGGCUCCGCGUUGGAUUAGCCAGUUGGCGGGGUAACGGCCCACCAAAGCGACGAUCCAUAGCCGGCCUGAGAGGGUGGACGGCCACAUUGGGACUGAGACACGGCCCAGACUCCUACGGGAGGCAGCAGUGGGGAAUAUUGCACAAUGGGGGAAACCCUGAUGCAGCCGACGCCGCGUGAAGGAAGAAGUAUCUCGGUAUGUAAACUUCUAUCAGCAGGGAAGAUGAUGACGGUACCUGACUAAGAAGCCCCGGCUAACUACGUGCCAGCAGCAGC
This 509-nucleotide ribosomal RNA is filed under the name uncultured bacterium. RNAcentral describes it as "bacterial SSU rRNA". It matches the Rfam family "Bacterial small subunit ribosomal RNA", at positions 8 to 518 of the family's 1533-position model. The record is from RNAcentral.